RNAcentral lists this unclassified non-coding RNA (1745 nucleotides) under Amphibalanus amphitrite. Its description in RNAcentral is "protein drumstick-like, transcript variant X2". The record is from RNAcentral. Lineage: Eukaryota; Metazoa; Arthropoda; Thecostraca; Balanomorpha; Balanidae.
UUGUGGCAGCGCCGAAGCCCCAUUCUGUGAUCAGAGGUGGACUCGUUUGGAUCGCAGGAGCCCUCUAACUCAGAUACACAAUGUGUUGCAUGCGAAAGUCAUCUAAACGGGCGGUAGCCUAGCCAUGCUGGACACGACCUUUGAGAUGGACGACCGAUCUCACUACGGCAUGGGAAACCGGAACGGCUCGCCGGACCGCUACUUCACCUGCAAGUUCUGCCAGCGACUGUUCAGGAAAGCCUACAAUCUGAUGAUUCACGAGAGGUCUCACGACACAGCCAAAUACAGUGCCGACAUCUACAAACUGCGCAACGAGCUCUCGUCGUGUAACCGGCGCGACCUCAGAAGGUGACUUCACCAAUGCAUGCAUGCAUCUACAUAUCUUCAAGCUAUAUAACUUCUGCUGGCCAGGGCCGUCCAGGAGGAGAGCUUCCAGGCCGUCAAGCUCAAGGUGUGAUGUUCGAGCCCGAGAGAGCGCUGCUACCGACCGGGUCUGUGCCGUCUCGAGCCGCGGGACUGGGACCUUCCCGUCCCAGCCGCGGGACCGAGACUGUCCGUCACGAGCCGCGGGACCGGGUGCUUGUCCCGGGCCGGGGCGGCACCGGGACUGCGCCGUCUCGAGCCGCCGGGGCCGGGAUCAUCUGUCCUGUCCAGGAACGCCGAGUCAUCCGUUCAGACCGUCGCGACUGUCGCCUCUCCGUCGGUUCUAUUCCCCGCCACGGCUGUCUGGCCGGUCCUGCUGUCCAGCGCGCCUGCCUGGAAGCUGUCUGCUGUCCAGCGCGGCUGUCCGGCCGGCUGUCUGCUGUCCAGCGCCUCCCCGCUGCUGGCCGGUCGUGCUAUCCGGCCAGGCCAGGCUGUCCAGCCAUGCAUAGCUGUCCGGUUUAUCCCAGCUGUCCAGCCACGUUGAGCUAAUUAUAUAGCCAUGCUGUCCAGCCAAGAUAAGUUGCUCAAAUAGGUCACUGUAUCCGGGUGUUCCAUACCGUCCAAGCAGACCGUGCCAUUUAACUGUGUCUUCCAGCUUAUUUAUUUUCAACUACAUACUAAGUGUGCUGUGAAGUCAACGCUUUGUACCCAGUCCGUUCAAGUAGUUAGCGACGGACUGGUGUCGGAUUGAGUCAUGUUUGGUAGGCAAUGGCGGACUGUUCGGUGAAGCGUUUUCAGUUAGGCGGAUCUAAAUUUGGAGCUGCUGUAAUUAGGACUAAUUUAGGGGGCGAAAUUCGCUGCGCGGGCUGCAGCGCUCGGGCUGGCGACCGCUGUCCGUGUCGGUGUAAUGUGCAGCCGGCGCGCGCCCCGUCCCUCCCGACUGUGAUCUUGUGCUAGUUGUCGUGUGAGCUGAGAGCAGGGGCUCGGAUGUGCUGUGCCAGGCGGUGAGAGCAUGUUGAAAUGCUUACGGAGUCGGAGCACUGAGGCGCCAGUCUCCGUCUUUUGCACCCUGUGUUGCCUGUGUAUAAGUUAACGUUUGUGCGCUUAGGUUUAGAAUAAGUGUAUUUAUUUGCCGCCCAACAUUUUCAGCUUUGAGUGAGUUUCAGGUUUGAAUGGUUUUCUCAUUUGUGUUAUUUGCAUGACAAGCCUGCAUAGAUAGAUUCCACGACACCACUGUGAGGUGUCUCUAAGUGCCAAUUGUCGAUCCUCCAGCUAGAUAGCACAGGUUUCAGGUUGACUGCUAGCAGCAAAUUAAUUAUGGGUGUUACGACUAUCACACGCAUUCACAUUCGUAUGUCGACGAAAUAUAUUAAUUUAUAGUA